Molecule: ribosomal RNA, 460 nt
Filed under: uncultured bacterium
Lineage: Bacteria
Description: partial 16S ribosomal RNA
Rfam family: Bacterial small subunit ribosomal RNA
Source: RNAcentral
CCUACGGGUGGCAGCAGUGAGGAAUAUUGGUCAAUGGGCGCGAGCCUGAACCAGCCAAGUCGCGUGAGGGAAGACGGUCCUAUGGAUUGUAAACCUCUUUUGUCGGGGAGCAAAAGACGCCACGCGUGGCGUUCCGAGAGUACCCGAAGAAAAAGCAUAGGCUAACUCCGUGCAAGCAGCCGCGGUGAUACGGAGGAUGCGAGCGUUAUCCGGAUUUAUUGGGUGUAAAGGGCGUGUAGGCGGGCAUGCAAGCCAGAAGUGAAAUCUGGGGGCUUAACCCCCAAACUGCUUUUGGAACUGCGUGUCUUGAGUGAUGGCGAGGCAGGCGGAAUUCCCAGUGUAGCGGUGAAAUGCGUAGAUAUUGGGAGGAACACCAGUGGCGAAGGCGGCCUGCUGGACAUUAACUGACGCUGAGGCGCGAAAGCGUGGGGAGCAAACAGGAUUAGAUACCCCAGUAGUC